RNAcentral lists this transfer RNA (71 nucleotides) under Candidatus Woesearchaeota archaeon CG10_big_fil_rev_8_21_14_0_10_37_12. Its description in RNAcentral is "tRNA-Gly". It matches the Rfam family "tRNA". From Rfam's summary of the family: Transfer RNA (tRNA) molecules are approximately 80 nucleotides in length. The record is from RNAcentral. Lineage: Archaea; Nanobdellati; Candidatus Woesearchaeota.
GCGCUCGUAGUCUAGUGGUAUGAUACAACGUUGCCAACGUUGGGGACCGGGUUCAAUUCCCGGCGAGCGCA